GCAUUGGUGGUAUAGUGGUGAGCAUA
Molecule: non-coding RNA, 26 nt
Filed under: Macaca fascicularis (crab-eating macaque)
Lineage: Eukaryota; Metazoa; Chordata; Mammalia; Primates; Cercopithecidae
Also listed under: 3 other names
Source: RNAcentral